CUUGGAUCCACAGCCGCAGUUUGGGUGGCUGUAACCCUGCCCAGGAGGGCGGGGCGUUUGCCUGCUUCGUAGAGCAGGAGGUCUGGGUCUGCAGCCACGGUUUGGGCAGCUGCAGCGGCACCCAGGGAGCUACUGCCCCAGCUCAGAAGGGAUGGGGCUCCCACCGGCUCCAUGGAGUGUGCAGCCCACCGCUCUGCCUUCCUGCUGCCAUCAGUAUCUCCAGACAACAUGGGACACCGAAUGACAGCUGACAGAAAACCAUAAUCGAUAAAUGGCUGAUGCCUAAAUAGUGAGAGGAACUAAGAUUAAUGAUCUGUUUCUUUGGUUGUCUUUAUAAUGGAACCAAGCAUUAAGGAACUUACUUUGUGUUUUGUCUAUAAAGAGUAGAAACUUUUUGCUCACAAGGCAUAACUAUCUCACAUUUUUCUCAUUAUAAAAGCAAUCUCAUGGUACUGGACAGGGGAGAAAAUAAAAUAAUCACUCAUAUUUCUAUUAUUCCAACAAUGCAUGUGAUUAAUUGGUGAGUUUCUUUUCACUCUUUCUGCACAUUAAAAAAACCUGUGUUUAAUUGUAAGAUAUACACAUCCUACUUUAGCUGUAACAUAUAAAAAUGUUUUUAUCUAUACUCUUAGCCAUACCUAUUCCCGGAUGUCCUAUUAUUUAUUUACACAAUAUCCUACUGUUCUACAUGGUUGCUUUAUUUCACCUCUUAACAAUACCUGCAUUUUCAGACAGGCAGACGUCAACUGUACUAUCAAAGGAAGCUCUAUUAGCAUCCCCCAUUCAAAUUUUAUAGCUAAAUGGUUCUAAGUUAUUUCCUAAACACUCUUGACCCAUUCUUGUUUGGCGAUUUCUCUUACAUUGUGAAUUUAGAUUUUAAGCAUUAAUCUCCAGAAGAGCCUAAUGAAGUAGGUAUCAUGUUUUUUUGUGGGCAGAGAUGAAUCUGUUAUUCGGUGGCAAGGAUUAAACCCAGGUUGGUCUGACUCUAAAUGUGCGUCCUUCUCAUUCCAUGAAGCGCUUUACAUACUCACACAGUGUUCCCUGUUUGGGCUCUAGUUUCUCAUAUGUGACUCUAUCAUUAAAAUAAAAUUUGAGUGAGUGAAUAAAGAUUACCUUUGAA
This 1120-nucleotide long non-coding RNA is filed under the name Homo sapiens (human). Its description in RNAcentral is "HSALNT0230426". Lineage: Eukaryota; Metazoa; Chordata; Mammalia; Primates; Hominidae. The record is from RNAcentral.